AGCCCGACGAGCCCGUCUUCCAUCUAGGCUCGAGCCUCGUCGCUCAAGCCCGGGAGCG
RNAcentral lists this transfer RNA (58 nucleotides) under uncultured eukaryote. The record is from RNAcentral.